GGGAUAUGGCGAAAUUGGUAGACGC
RNAcentral lists this transfer RNA (25 nucleotides) under Yucca treculeana (Spanish dagger). RNAcentral's name for it is "partial tRNA-Leu". Lineage: Eukaryota; Viridiplantae; Streptophyta; Magnoliopsida; Asparagales; Asparagaceae. The record is from RNAcentral.